AAAAAUUAAACAUUUUGUUCAUUUCUAUCUAAAUCCUUCCAAAUUGAAAGGAAAAAAAUUUCUUCCAUGAAUGAAACUCAGGCACAUUUUUUUUAACUUUCAUUUAUUUCCUUUUUUUCCUCGUUAAGUUGAACUCGUGAACAGAGAAUUUGAAUUACACAUAUCAAAUGAUUUCUUUAGACCGGAGGACGUUGUGGUCACAUUUCACCGUCACCUUGGCACACCUUAUUUUCUUCUCAUUUUCCUUUCACUCUUCAAAAUCCAGGAAAGUGUCACACUUCACUUCAUUUUACUUUUUUCUUCUCAUUUUCCUUUCACUCUUCAAAAUCCAGGAAAUUGUCACACUUCACUUCAUUUUACUUUUUUUGAUAAAAUAAAAUUACUAUAAUUUUAAAAGCUAUAAUUUAAUAAGAAGAAAUUAAUUAAAAAUGGUUAGUAAACACAAAAUUAAUAAAAAAUAUUUCAUUGCUCGAAAAUAAAAAUUACAUAACCAAAAUAAGAAACCAUCAUUAAAAUAUAACAAUAAUUAAAAUACUACAUCAUAUCAAAUUUUGCCCGAAUUCUAGACAAAAUGGUAAAAUGGUUGGUAUUUAUAAAAUGGUAAAAUGUUUUUUUAAUUAAAUCUAUAGCCGUUGAAGAAGAGAAAAGAACGAGAGAAAAUGCAAUAAAAUCUCAUGGCGUGGUUCCUUACAUCGCUUUGAGUGCACUAGCAAUGUGGUGUUCACCACCGGGUGAAAGCUCCCAAUUCACCCCACCAAUCCACCAUACCAUAUGGGGCUACUCCUUCGGUCCUCAAAGUUACACUUGAUAAUACUUGUAUCUCUAGCCUAGACAUGUAAGAAACAAAUCUAGGUGAGAGUAUUAGUUGAAUCUCUAGCCUAGACAUCUAAAAGAAACAAAACAAACAAGUCAAAACCUAAUAAAUAGGGAACAAAUCUUUUAAUCUGUACUUGACGUUCACAUUCAUAUAUGUACCCAAUCUUUUUGUAACUCAGGGUUACAUACUAUUGGCUAAAAAUUGGCUAAAAAGGGGGGUUUUCUCUAAAGUUAUAAAAAUAUACAUAAAAUGGACCAGUUUGAAGACAAACCUAAAUGACAAAUCUAGUAACAUAAACAAUACCCCUACAAAAGAAAAGACUGCAACAAAGCAUCCAGUUUUAGUAGAGUGGUUGCAGAGUUGUUGCAAUUUCAACAUUUAUAUCAAGAUAAUGAUAAUCCCACAAGAUUAACACUUACUUAUACACCACCAUUACUCACUAGUCACUAACCAAUUUUCAUCCAUAAAAAUCAUGAAAGCGAAGGACUCACCAAAAACUACAUGGAAACCCUACUGCUGUUCGGCUGAAAACAAGGUUUUUCACAGCUUUAGCCGUUGCAGACCCUCAAAAUCGGAAUUCUCGAAAAAUGUAGCCCCAUCACCUUCUUUCAGACGCAUGUCUUUCUCAGAUCU
RNAcentral lists this long non-coding RNA (1450 nucleotides) under Lactuca sativa (garden lettuce). RNAcentral describes it as "long non-coding RNA (LSAT_LNC002164)". Lineage: Eukaryota; Viridiplantae; Streptophyta; Magnoliopsida; Asterales; Asteraceae. The record is from RNAcentral.